GUCUCCGUAGCAUUGAGGUUAGUGUACAGCCCCGGAUAGGUUGAGACGCGGGUUCGAAUCCCGCCCGAGAUG
This is a non-coding RNA of Nippostrongylus brasiliensis, 72 nucleotides long. Lineage: Eukaryota; Metazoa; Nematoda; Chromadorea; Rhabditida; Heligmosomidae. The record is from Rfam.